RNAcentral lists this transfer RNA (75 nucleotides) under Gyrinophilus palleucus (Tennessee cave salamander). RNAcentral's name for it is "tRNA-Leu". It matches the Rfam family "tRNA". From Rfam's summary of the family: Transfer RNA (tRNA) molecules are approximately 80 nucleotides in length. Their secondary structure includes four short double-helical elements and three loops (D, anti-codon, and T loops). The record is from RNAcentral. Lineage: Eukaryota; Metazoa; Chordata; Amphibia; Caudata; Plethodontidae.
AUUAAAGUGGCAGAGCCAGAUAAUUGCAAAAGACCUAAAACCUUUACCCCGAGAGUUUAAAUCUCUCCUUUAAUA